Molecule: ribosomal RNA, 653 nt
Filed under: Staphylococcus aureus
Lineage: Bacteria; Bacillati; Bacillota; Bacilli; Caryophanales; Staphylococcaceae
Description: partial 23S ribosomal RNA
Rfam family: Bacterial large subunit ribosomal RNA
Source: RNAcentral
AGCACUGUUUGGACGAGGGGCCCCUCUCGGGUUACCGAAUUCAGACAAACUCCGAAUGCCAAUUAAUUUAACUUGGGAGUCAGAACAUGGGUGAUAAGGUCCGUGUUCGAAAGGGAAACAGCCCAGACCACCAGCUAAGGUCCCAAAAUAUAUGUUAAGUGGAAAAGGAUGUGGCGUUGCCCAGACAACUAGGAUGUUGGCUUAGAAGCAGCCAUCAUUUAAAGAGUGCGUAAUAGCUCACUAGUCGAGUGACACUGCGCCGAAAAUGUACCGGGGCUAAACAUAUUACCGAAGCUGUGGAUUGUCCUUUGGACAAUGGUAGGAGAGCGUUCUAAGGGCGUUGAAGCAUGAUCGUAAGGACAUGUGGAGCGCUUAGAAGUGAGAAUGCCGGUGUGAGUAGCGAAAGACGGGUGAGAAUCCCGUCCACCGAUUGACUAAGGUUUCCAGAGGAAGGCUCGUCCGCUCUGGGUUAGUCGGGUCCUAAGCUGAGGCCGACAGGCGUAGGCGAUGGAUAACAGGUUGAUAUUCCUGUACCACCUAUAAUCGUUUUAAUCGAUGGGGGGACGCAGUAGGAUAGGCGAAGCGUGCGAUUGGAUUGCACGUCUAAGCAGUAAGGCUGAGUAUUAGGCAAAUCCGGUACUCGUUAAGGCUGA